AAAAAAAAAAAAAAAGAGAAAAAUAAAUAAACUGUAUUACAUAGAAGUUGUGUUUAUAUAUAUAUAGAGUCCGGCUACUAUACUCUUAUGAGUACGAUCGCCCUCGUACUUAUAAGUUGUUUUCGAUGAUAGAGCAUCUGAAUCGACGAUCUACACCGUUAAAUGUUAUUUAGAGCAUUUAAAACGUUUAGAAAUCAAAUUUCAUAAUUUUUCGACAUCAUUACCUUACGAUCAAAAGGUCAUAAAAUUGACAAUUUUUAACGGCCAAUAUGGAAUAUUUGCUAGUUUAACGGUGUAAAAGAAUCGAAAUCAGUUGAAUUUUUGAUAGAAAAUUUUAUUNAGCACUAUUGCUUUUGAGUUUUUAGCCAUUGGAUGGAGAGAUGUGAGGUUGAGAUGAUGAUGGUAGAUGGUGGUGGGUGGAAUAGUGUUUGAUCCAAAGGCUAUUAGUAAUCAAGGAGUAGAUCCAAAGGCUAAAAAUUUAGAAUCACCAAGAGGUUAGUGCUUAUAAAAAUAUUCUAGCUCAAUUAUAUAUAUAUAUAUAUAUAUAUAUAUAUAUAUAUAUAGAGGCUACGGCUAUGAGUAUAGAGCCCUUCAUACUCAUAAGUUGUUUUCAAUGAUGGAGAUUCUGAAUCGACGAUCCGCUCCGUUAAAUAUGAUCUAGAGUAUUUUUAACUUUUAGAAAAUAAAUUUCGUAAUUUUUCGAAAUCAUAAUAAAAUUCAUCAAGCAGGUAUAAAAUGAAGGGUCGAAAUCGAACGACGUCUUAAAAAUGGAUGAUCAGAUCCUUCAAUUUAAGAUCGGAGUUAUUGAAAAUUCAUCAAGCAGGUGUAAAAGAAUCGAAAUCAGUUGAAUUUUUGAUAGAAAAUUUUAUUUACUAUAUAGAUAAAGAUCAAUAACUCCGAUCUUAAAUUGAAGGAUCCAAACAUCCAUUUUAAAGACGUUGUUCGAUUUUGACCAUUCAUUUUAUACCUGCUUGAUGAAUUUUAUUAUGAUUUUGAAAAUUUAUGAAAUAUAUUUUCUAGAAGUUUCAAAUACUCUAAAUCACAUUUAACGGAGUAGAUCGUCAAUUUGGGAGCUCUAUCAUUAAAAACAACUACUAUUUUGGUUCAAAGGAUAAAGGAAGAAUAAGGAAUUUAUUCCUCUUAUUCUUCCAAACGGUGUCAAAAUUGCCAAGAACUACUAUUCUCCUCUUAACGGGUUAUUCCGGAAUAACCUAUUAAGAGGGGAGAAUAGUAGUUCCACCUAUUGGGUUGAACAAGUUAUUCUCUACCUUAUUUCUCUACUAAUUAAAUUAUAAAUAAUUAUAAAUUAUAAUUAAUUAAUGCAAUUAAAUUUUUUUAAUAAUUGACUAAUUAAUUAUUUAAGUUAUUAAAUUAAUAAAUAUUUAAAUAAUAGUCUAUUUAUAAUUUAUUAUUAUUUAUCUAAUUAAAUAGUUAGCCAUAUAUUCAAUUAUUAACUAAUAUUUAUAUUAUUUAAAUAAUUAGUAUUUUAAUUUAUAUAAUUAAUAUAUUAACAAAAAAAAAAUGAUUAAAUAAUUAAUUACUAUUAAUAUGUUGAAUUAUUUUUUAUAGUUAUUUACUAAUUAAUGUCAUCUUUGACAUCUCAUAUAGUAAUUUUAAUUAAUUUAUAAAGUAAUUUUGAUUAAUUUAUUUAUUAACUUAUUAAAAUAUUAUUUACUAAUACUUUGAAAAUAAAACUAAUUUAUCUCUUAUCCCUACUAUUCCCCCCAAUCAACCAAACGUAAUUUUUCUUAUUCCUCUAAAUAUCUCGAUUCUCGUCCAAACACAAAAUUGAAUUAAUUCCUACCUAUCCCAGAAGUUAUACCUAUCCCAAGAAUAAACAAAAAUAACUUGUUCUCGAGCCAAACGGUACCAUAGAGUAUAGAAGCCUUAGCCUAUAUAUAGAGUUGAGCUAGAAUAUUAUCGGUAGCAAACAGGCUCCGUUGCCACCCAUUUGUUUUCAAUGAUGGAGCCUCCAAAUCGACGAUCGGCAUCGUUGAAUAUGAUCUAUACCACUUGAAGUAUCUAGAAACCAAAUUUUAAAUCUUUUCGACAUCAUGGACCUAAUGAUCAAAGGGUUUCAAAAUUUAUAAUUUUAAAGGUUGAUAUGAGACAUUUUCUCAUUUAACGAUAUAAAGAUAUCCAAAUCGAUUGAAUUUUGGUUAGAAAAUUCUUUAAACUAUUUAGAACAAGAUCUAUACUCUUGAUCUUGAUUAGAAAUUUUCUAUCAUCACUUUUUAAAGAAUUUUCAUUUUCAGCCGUUCAUUUUUGUGUCCACUUGAUGAACAAGUGAAUAAUAUCAAAAAAGUAUGAAGUUUGGUUUCUAGACACUUUAAGUGGUAUAGAUCAUGUUCAACAGUACCGAUCGUCGAUUUAGAAGCUCCAUCAUAAAAAACAAAUGGGUGGUAACGGAGCCCGUUUGCUACCGAUAGCAUUCCAGCUCAACUCUCUCUCUCUAUAUAUAUAGAGUCCGGCUGGGAUACUAUCGAUAGCAUCAAAGAUUUGGUGCUAUCGAGUUUUUCACAGUUAGAUUUAACGCUUCGAUUAUUUUUACCCGUUAGAUUAUACUAUUCAACCAACCACCCACUCAACUCUAGAGGGCUCACAUCAUUCUAACCGCACGUUUUUCAAUCCAAGGGCUAAAAAAUUAAUAGCACAAAUAGUUUGGUGCUAUUAAUAGUAUUCCAGCCUAGUUCUAUAUAUAUAUAGAGUCCGGCUGGGAUGCUAUCGAUAACACGAAGCAUUUAGUGGUAUCAAGUUUUCUGCCGUUAGAUUUAACCCUUUAACUAUUUUUAUCCGUUAGAUUAUACUAUUCAACCAAGAACUCACUCAACCCUAGGGGUCCACAUUAUCCUAACUGUACAUUUCUUCAUCCAAGGGUAGAAAACCUAAUAGCACCAAUAGCCUGGUGCUAUUGACAGUAUUCCAGCAUAUAUAUAUA
This 2938-nucleotide long non-coding RNA is filed under the name Ananas comosus (pineapple). RNAcentral describes it as "long non-coding RNA (ACOM_LNC020679)". The record is from RNAcentral. Lineage: Eukaryota; Viridiplantae; Streptophyta; Magnoliopsida; Poales; Bromeliaceae.